Molecule: ribosomal RNA, 253 nt
Filed under: uncultured bacterium
Lineage: Bacteria
Description: partial 16S ribosomal RNA
Rfam family: Bacterial small subunit ribosomal RNA
Source: RNAcentral
UACGUAGGGGGCGAGCGUUGUCCGGAGUUACUGGGCGUAAAGCGCACGCAGGCGGUCGCGUAAGAGUGCGGGGACAGUGGGCGGCUUAACUGCCCAAGGGUCGCACAGACUGCGUGACUGGAGGGCCAGAGAGGGACCUGGAAUUCCGGGUGGAGCGGUGAAAUGCGUAGAGAUCCGGAGGAACACCAGAGGCGAAGGCGGCCUACUGGGUCAGUACUGACGCUGAGCCGCGAAAGCCAGGGGAGCGAACGGG